Molecule: ribosomal RNA, 466 nt
Filed under: uncultured bacterium
Lineage: Bacteria
Description: partial 16S ribosomal RNA
Rfam family: Bacterial small subunit ribosomal RNA
Source: RNAcentral
GAUGAACGCUGGCGGCGUGCUUAACACAUGCAAGUCGAACGAUGAAGCCCAGCUUGCUGGGUGUAUUAGUGGCGAACGGGUGAGUAACACGUGAGUAACCUGCCCUUAACUCUGGGAUAAGCCUGGGAAACUGGGUCUAAUACCGGAUAGGAGCGUCCACCGCAUGGUGGGUGUUGGAAAGAUUUAUCGGUUUUGGAUGGACUCGCGGCCUAUCAGCUUGUUGGUGAGGUAAUGGCUCACCAAGGCGACGACGGGUAGCCGGCCUGAGAGGGUGACCGGCCACACUGGGACUGAGACACGGCGCAGACUCCUACGGGAGGCAGCAGUGGGGAAUAUUGCACAAUGGGCGCGAGCCUGAUGCAGCGACGCCGCGUGAGGGAUGACGGCCUUCGGGUUGUAAACCUCUUUCAGUAGGGAAGAAGCGAAAGUGACGGUACCUGCAGAAGAAGCACCGGCUAACUACGUG